This 425-nucleotide ribosomal RNA is filed under the name uncultured bacterium. RNAcentral describes it as "bacterial SSU rRNA". It matches the Rfam family "Bacterial small subunit ribosomal RNA", at positions 354 to 796 of the family's 1533-position model. The record is from RNAcentral.
GUGGGGAAUAUUGCACAAUGGGGGAAACCCUGAUGCAGCAACGCCGCGUGAGUGAUGAAGGCCUUCGGGUUGUAAAGCUCUGUCUUCAGGGACGAUAAUGACGGUACCUGAGGAGGAAGCCACGGCUAACUACGUGCCAGCAGCCGCGGUAAUACGUAGGUGGCAAGCGUUGUCCGGAUUUACUGGGCGUAAAGGGAGCGUAGGCGGACUUUUAAGUGAGAUGUGAAAUACCCGGGCUCAACCUGGGUGCUGCAUUUCAAACUGGAAGUCUAGAGUGCAGGAGAGGAGAGUGGAAUUCCUAGUGUAGCGGUGAAAUGCGUAGAGAUUAGGAAGAACACCAGUGGCGAAGGCGACUCUCUGGACUGUAACUGACGCUGAGGCUCGAAAGCGUGGGGAGCAAACAGGAUUAGAUACCCGUGUAGUCC